AGGACAUAUUUAAGGGGCAAUGGUGGAGUGGGCCUUGUUUGCUGCGGAGUGCGUGGAUGAGUGUGUCUGUAAAGGCGAAUGUUUCUGGCUGUGUGGAUGGUGUUUGUGUCUGUGUAGGGGAAUGUUUCUGGUUGUUUGGAUGGUGUCUGUCUGUAGGUGAAUAUUUCUGGUUGCGUGGAUGGUGUUUGUGUCUAUGUAGGUGAAUGUUUCUGGUUGUGUGACAGUGGCUGUGUAGGUGAAUGUUUCUCGUUGUGUGUCAGUGUCUGUAGGCGAAUGUUUCUGGUUGUGUGGAUGGUUUUUAGUGUCUGUAUAGGUGAAUGUUUCUGGUUGUAUGUCUCUGUAGGUAAAUUUUUCUGGUUGUGUGGAUGAGUGUUAGUGUCUGUAUAGGUGAAUGUUUAUGGUUGUGUGUCAGUGUCUGUGUAGGUGAAUGUUUCUGUCUGUGUGGAUGGUGUGAGUGUCAGUUAGGUGAAUGGUUCUGGCUGUGUGGAUGGUAUUUUAUGUCAGUAUGGGUGAAUGUUGUAUGAGUGAGUAGAUGGUGUGUGUGUGUAGGCACAAGAUGAACAUGUUUUGUGUGCGCUGGGGGGCUAGUGGCAGAGGGGUGUCAUAAAAAUAAGGCCUGUUCAGCACGUUGACUGGGACUGUGAUUAAGGAGUAUAAAAAAAUAUAAAGGAAUUGGAUUGUAUGAAAUAACAUUAAUGACGUAAUUAUAACCCUAAUAUUUCUAGUCUCAUGUUACAUUGUGCGUUAAUCAUU
Molecule: long non-coding RNA, 753 nt
Organism: Gadus macrocephalus (Pacific cod)
Lineage: Eukaryota; Metazoa; Chordata; Actinopteri; Gadiformes; Gadidae
Exons: 2
Source: RefSeq, a predicted model, not a curated record